Molecule: ribosomal RNA, 493 nt
Filed under: uncultured bacterium
Lineage: Bacteria
Description: bacterial SSU rRNA
Rfam family: Bacterial small subunit ribosomal RNA
Source: RNAcentral
GAUGAACGCUGGCGGCGUGCCUAAUACAUGCAAGUCGAACGCAUUGUGGUUGAAAUGAUAUGAAGAACUUGUUCAGAUUUGAUUUUCAACAUUGCAAUGAGUGGCGAACGGGUGAGUAACACGUGGGAAACCUACCUCUUAGCAGGGGAUAACAUUUGGAAACAAAUGCUAAUACCGUAUAAUAAUUAAAACCGCAUGGUUUUAGUUUAAAAGAUGGUCUUGCUAUCACUAAGAGAUGGUCCCGCGGUGUAUUAGUUAGUUGGUGAGGUAAUGGCUCACCAAGACAAUGAUACAUAGCCGAGUUGAGAGACUGACCGGCCACAAUGGGACUGAGACACGGCCCAUACUCCUACGGGAGGCAGCAGUAGGAAUCUUCCACAAUGGACGAAAGUCUGAUGGAGCAACGCGCGUGUGUGAUGAAGGGUUUCGGCUCGUAAAACACUGUUGUAAGAGAAGAAUGACAUUGAGAGUAACUGUUCAAUGUGUGACGGUA